RNAcentral lists this long non-coding RNA (6684 nucleotides) under Sus scrofa (pig). RNAcentral's name for it is "lncRNA (ENSSSCG00060006704.1)". The record is from RNAcentral. Lineage: Eukaryota; Metazoa; Chordata; Mammalia; Artiodactyla; Suidae.
GGCUUUGUGAAAAGACUUCGUUUAUGAUUUAGGCUGUGGAUAUGUCAGCUCCCCGGCAAGGAUUAGGUUUGUGAGGGCUGGCCAUGGUGGCAGCUCCAGUGACAGUGGUCAGCAGUCCUCUCUUUAGGUGCUGUGAACAGGACAUGAUAUACUUUCACCUGACAAGUGCACUUUAGUCCUUUACCCUGACUCCUCCCGUGUGUGGCCUGGACUGGUGGUGUGCUUCUCCAGGUGAGAGCCCUCCCUAGCAGAGCAGGAUCUAUUUAAAAAAAAAAAAUGGAGCAUCAGGCCUUUCUAGCCUAUCUGGAAGACAGUGGGAGGAAGGAGGGCAGGCAAGGAGCUGGGGACUAGAUAGCAGGUAGACACUCAUGAUUUACAAAAGACAGGAAGCCUUGUGUGAUUUCAGACAAGUUCUCUUCCUUUAGAAUGUUGUCUGCAUUGCUAGCUGAAAAUAGUAGAAACCUUAGAAAUUGCUAGACAUAAAAAAAAAAAAAUGACUGGAGGGUUGUAAUAAGGAGGCUAUGUUUAUAUUUUUCAGGUUAUUGAUAUCAGAAGUAGUAAGAGACUACACUUAUAAUAGAUACUUAUGGUUGAAUUAGUUUAAAAGAUGACUAGAAAAACUCCACUUUUCAUUUAAAACUUUCUUUUGUUUUAGUUCUCAAUACUAAUAUUGGCUGUUGUUUUUAACUAAGGCUGAAUCUAAUUUGUCAGUCUGGAGUGUCAUUUUCAAUGUCAACUUUUAGCUGUGUGGUAUAAAAACUGUAUUUUUGUUUGAUAGUUUCUUUUAAAUUUUACUAAAAUAAUUGUUUCUCUUCUGAGGGCCUUUUUAUGAAUGUGAAGCUUAUUGAAGAUAUAUGAUCAUUCAGUAAAACCUAGCUAGUAGUUUUAGGGUAGAAACGUGUAUUUUCCCAACACAGCACCUUUUCCUUAUCAUCUAUUCUGUUAACCAAAACAAUGCCCAAGAAAGGUAAAAUGUGUAUAAUAUAUAUGUGUGUACAUAUAUGAUUUUACCUCUUAAUAAUCUACUGCAGACAAUCCGCAUUGGUUGUAAUUUGAAAAAUUAUAGAAUCUCAGAGGGUAUUAGUAAGUUGAAUAAUUCAUUACUACACAUGAAUAAAAAUAAGUAUUAAUUGAACUAAAUUAUUCAAUUGAAAAUUUGGAUACUUUGGAAAACAUAAAAGCUUUAGGAAGUUUCUGGAUACAACCUUUGCUUUGAAAAUCCUCCCGAAGUAUAGUGCGUGUUCAUGAAUUCCACUAUAUUUAUAGGCUAAAAGUAAACAUGCAUCAAUAUUAUUUUCUAGAACUCAUACCAAGACUAGUUUUGUUUGAUUAGUACUUGGAAAUAAACUGAUGAAGACUUGAUAGAGGUCUCAGGACACCCACCCUCUUCAGUAGAAAGAGCUCAUUAUUGGAAGGUGUUUGUGCUCUUUAGUUUUGCUUUUCUGCUGAAAUGUGUCUGCAGAGCAUCUAAUUUCUAGGUAAAUUUAAGGGUUAUCAGCUCAUUUUCAAUAAUUAAACAAAGUGAAAGAUCUGUUGAUUCUUUCUUAUUACCCCUGUUGUCCUUUGGCUUUAUGCCUGUGUCAACUUUAAUUUCUGAUUACAGAGCCAGUGCUUCAGUAAUUGGCUCUUAGAAAAUGAAAUAGCUACUAAAAGAUAAAACUUUUAAAACCUAUGUUUCUAAAUUUAACUGGCCAUUAUAUGCUCUUACUUUUCAGGCAUCCUGUGCUUUGCAAUUAAUUCAACAAAUAUUUUGGCUGCUUAUUUCAUGGGAGAAGUUCACCUAAGAUUCUAGAUGGGAUAUAGAAAUGAAAUGCAUAGGUGCCUUGCCACAAAUAAGCUUAUUGGUGGUGAUGAUUGGCAAUUUGGAUUUAUGCUCUGACCUAUUUUCUGUUCUGUGAGUGGUGACAGAGAGUCCAAGAUCUUAGUUUUUUGUUUUGGUAUUACUGUUUUUUUUUUUUUUAAUCUGUGCACUCAAAGAAAUUCUUUGAGAUCAGCACUAAUGAGGUUUUUUGUUUGUUUUUCUGAUUAUUUUGAUCUGUGUCUAAAGCUGUAGAACUGAAUGUAAAAGGUAGAACUGAAGUUGUAGAACUCUAUGUAUCUGUGUCUGUAAUUCAGGAAAAAUCCACUUAUCAUGUGAUUAUAAUGUAUUUUCCUACCCUUUCCAGGUAUAGUUCAUUAGAUUGUUAUGAAAUUUAUAGAUGUUUUUCCUUAAUGGUUAUAGAGGUAAAUAAAGCAGUUGUAUAGAGUCAAUAUUCCCCAAAUUCACACACCUGAAAGCUGAUCUUCUAAUACUGUGCUAGACUUAAAAUAGCCUUCAUACAGAAACUACUAAAUAAAAAUAGUUAAGACUACAAGUUCACAAAUUAAGGUGAAUAGUUGAAUACAUUAGAUUGACUUAGUAAUUUUACCUUAAGAAAACCGUUAUACAGCUUUUCUCUGAUUUUUCAGUUUUAAGCAUAGUAUAUGCAUACAUUACUCCUACAUAGUGUUUGAGAUUAUAAAAUAUUUUCAAAUAUAUUUAACAAUAAUUUAGACCAUUGAUUUUAUAGAAGUUAUAACAUUUGCUAAAAGUCAUAACUAACUUCACUAAAAGCAAUGGUGACAAAGGAACACAAGUGUGUAAGUGCUUUUGCUUCUCAAGAAAAAAAGUAAGACUAGUGUUUUCCUAAAGUAAAUUAUUAGUUAGUUCCAGUAAAGGAAGAUUUGUGAAAGAUAGUGAGUAUGGCAAGUUGUAGGGUGAUUGAGGAAAGUAAAUUUUAUUUGGCUUGCUUUAUAAUAUCUGAAUCUGAUAAGAAAUAAUGAAAUGUAUUAAAUAUUUAGCAGAGUUUGCUCAGUGUUGAUAGAGUUAUUCACAAGACAGUUUAAGGAACUAGAAGGAUCCCAUGAAAACUUCGCUGCCAAGGACUGCACUAAUACAAAACUGGAAAGUAAUUCACUCUAUUUAAAUAAUAAUUUUCUCUUAGAAUUAACCAAGAAUGAAAAGGUUUUCUUUACUUGCUGUGAGUAAUUUUCCUAUAGGUCAGAGAUUUUGUACCUCAGCAAUAAUUUUCUCAGAUUUGUGUUGACCUUAACAUGUCCUUGGUUAUUUACAAAAACAAAAUAAAACAAACAUAUGCAAAACAAAAAAAAAUCAAUAAACAGUAAAGAAUCAAUGUUUGGUUUCUCUUUAUGAAGAACCAAAGUUUCCAUAUACUUUACCACCUUGAUUAAAUAAGUAACCAGGUAUUGUUUCUCAUGCUCCCAUGCUCCUAUCUUAAUUAAUUAAGCAAAUCUCCUCUGACAGCUUGAUUUUGCUUUCCCUGGAUUUGAUCCUAAAUUUAGAAAAAAAAAUUCAGGAUAUCUUUUACACUGAAAAUUAUCUUUGCAGUUUUCCAAAGGGCCCCUGGAAAGCUUUAAUAGGUUAAGUUUGUAAAAGCAAAAUAUUAUUGACUUAUAUACCUAUUUUAUAGGUUACACACAUUUUGAAAAGGCCCUGGAAAUCUGUCAGUGCAUUUUUAAAAUGAUUUUUAUUUUUUCCAUUAUAGUUGAUUUACAGUGUUCUGUCAAUUUCUACUGUACAGCAAAGUGACCCUGUCAUACAUAUAUAUGUGUGUGGGGGGGUGUAUAUGUAUAUAUAUAAAUAUAUAUAUAUAUAUAUAUUCUUUUUCUCACAUUAUCCUCCAUCAUGUUCUAUCACAAGUGACUGGAUAUAGUUCCCAGUGCUCUACAGCAGGAUCUCAUUGCUUAUCUACUCCAAAUGCAAGAGUUUGCAUCUAUUAACCCCAGACUCCCAGUCCAUCCCGCUCCUCCUCCCCCUUGGCAACCACAAGUGAAAAGGCCCUGGAAAUUUGUCAGUUCUUAAUAUAUUUUUAUUCUCAGGGAAAGUGUAUGAAAUAUUUAUGCCUUCUAUCCCAAGAGCUAAUUUUACUAUUGUCCGUUGUGCUAUUAUUGGCUGUUGAAAUAAGUUAACCACUGUCACGAGUCUCAUUAUGAAAUAGAGUUCUUUUCUCCAGUACUUGACUGAUGGCUCUGCUCUAAGCUAUAGGCUAGGAUUUCAGAAGAGUUUCAGAAUCUGUGGAAAGGACUGUACAGCACUCUGAACUACCUCACUUCAGUAGACAGGCUUGAGUGCAGGCUUCCAAGUGGACACUGUUAGACAAUGUUCAGACUUUACUAGGGACAGUCAGGAUUUCCAGGCCUUUCUUCUCUUCAGUGGAGCAAGACUUAAUCACUGAGGACUGAAUGAACUGAGAGAAAUUUAUUUGUGGUUAUUGUUGGUACUGUUUGAAUACUCUGUUCUUUUUGGUUAUAUGAGGAAGCCCUUUCUCUUUCUUGAGAUGUACCCAAGUCUAAGUUUAAUUUACUUUGGUAAACUGAAAUGAAAUUUUUUUUUCUUUAGGCAAAGAAUGAGUUUAAUAUUAUAGAGCACUUGUGAGAAAAACAAAUGGGCAGGCAAAGGAGUUCAGCCCCAAGAACAAAGAGGGCUCCAUUUUUAUAUCAAAGAAGUGGGGAGAGGAGACCACCUUCUUCCUCAUUUUGGGGUAGACAUUAAGGCUGAGAUGAGGCAUUUUAAUGAUGAGUGAUUUUCACUUGUCCCUUGGGAUUCUUGACAACCUAAUUAUUUGGAUAGAUUCAUAGAAAUCUUGCCCAACCCCAUUUUUUUACCAGAAUAUAAUUGGAAAAAUCCAUUGUGUAACAAGUAUCACAAUUGAGAGUGUUUGUCCCUUAGGAUUCUUGACAGCCUAAUUAUUUGGAUAGGUUCAUAGAAAUCUUGCACCCCCCACCUUUUUUUACCAGAAUAUAAUUGGAAAAAUCAAUCGUGCAACCAGUAUCACAAUUGAGAGUGUUUGUCAUUUAACCAGGCAUGAAGAACCCACUAUUAGAGAACAAGUACUUCCUUGGAAGCCUGUAUGCAAGACUAUUUAAUGUGGAUUAGUGCCUACAAAGUCCUUCCAAGAACCUUGGCUUUGGAACUGGCUUAUUAGAGCCAGCCUCCCAACUGGAAUGGUCUGCCAGCUGAGAGAACUGAGAAAAUGUUGGAAUUCAGGAAGAGAGUAUAUAUACACAUACACCCCGAUACAUAGAUAUUAAAGGUGAAACCUAUUGGAGAAAGUGUCUUGCAUUUGGUCUUCUAGACUCACCAUAAAAAGUAAUUGAAGUUUGAAAAAAUCUAAUCCAGGUUUCCCAUUGUGGCACAGUGGAUUAAGAAUCCAACUGCAGCAGCUCAGGUUACUGCGGAAGUGUGGGUUGGAUCCCUGGCCUGGCACAGUGGGUUAAAGGAUACAGUGUGGAUCCCAGCUGUGGCUUGGGCUCAGUCCCUAGCCCAGGAGCUUCCAUAUGCUGUGGGUGUGACCAUACAAUUAAAAAAACAAAACAAAACUAAACUAAUCCCAUACAAGAUCCUCAAUGAAAAGUCCAGGCAGUAGUUAAUUCUCAGUUCUUCAUAGUUGUUUAGUACUGUAAGGCCUUGAAUUUGCAGAGCAAACUCAAGAAGGCCUGUCUGUUUAAUUAGCACUCUUGCUGCAUUGCAUCUCUGUGUAUAAUUAGGCCAAACCUAAUGAGGCUAGACUUUCUGUUUAAAGAACAAUCUGUGGGGAUUAUUUAUGAUCAAGGGGUAGGAAUAUCAGAAAAAUAUUCUGAAACAUAAAAAUGGGCAGGCUUUCCUGGGUGUUUCUUCAGUACAGUUUUACCUUUGAUUUUUUGUUUUCCUGGCUAUUGUAUAACUUUGUUGGGGAAGAGGUCAAUUUAUAGAUUAUUAUCUGGUAGAGAUGCAGGUAAAUUUUGCCUGGUAAAAAAGGUGAUUCAAAAAAUAUAGUUUAUUACCCCUUUGGACAUUAACCCAUUUUGUAUCUAGUCCAGCAAUCUUAUCCUAACACAACUUUCUAAAACUGACUUUCAAUGCCUCACUCUUCAGUUUCUCAUUUUAACAUCUUACUGGUUUCUUCAUUAAUUGCUGUGUGUACAAAAUCUUUGACAUACGUUGUUUUACAUUUACAUGUGAGUCAUGGUUUUACCUUUUUGAAAGUUGUACUUUUCUAGCCCUGAGAAACUGGGGGCAGGAUGUGUCAUUUAUCCAAGCAGAGAAUUCUGAGGAAUAAACAGGUCAGGGACAGGAAUGAGAUGACUGGAAAAAAAUUAAACAUACUGUUUUGGAAAUAUUUAAUUCAAAACAGAUCUUUGUUCGCCUGAGAAAGUUUAUAGUAGUGUGAAGCAACAGGACAUAGAGGAAGACUAGCAAACUCGACCUUGCAUAGCAGCCAGAAUCACAAAGGUGUGGAGAGAUAUGUGUGCAAGGUGUAAUAGAAGGCACAGUCAACAAAACCUUUGGAAAAAUGACAGCCUAGCACUUCAGAAAGAUUCAACUGAUGUCAAUGUGUAUGAUGACUUGUCAAGAGGGAAUCUAGGAUCGAUGGAUGGGAGGAAAGUAUUAGAAUUUACAUAAUUUGGGGAGUUUCUGCAAUGGCUCAGUGGUAGUGAACCUGAUUAGUAUCCAUGAGGUUGCAGGUUCAAUCCCUGGCCUCACUCAGUAGGUUAAGGAUCUGGCAUUGCCGUGAGGUGUGGUGUAGGCCACAGACACAGCUUGGAUCCUGCGUUGCUGUGACUGUGGUGUAGACUGGAAGCUGCAGCUCUGAUUUGACCCCUAGCUUGGGAACCUCCCUAUGCUGCAGAUGAGGCCCUAAGGAAAGAAAGAAAAAAAAAAAAAAG